Molecule: ribosomal RNA, 253 nt
Filed under: uncultured bacterium
Lineage: Bacteria
Description: partial 16S ribosomal RNA
Rfam family: Bacterial small subunit ribosomal RNA
Source: RNAcentral
UACGUAGGGUGCAAGCGUUGUCCGGAAUUAUUGGGCGUAAAGAGCUCGUAGGCGGUCUGUCGCGUCGGCUGUGAAAACCCGGAGCUCAACUCCGGGCCUGCAGUCGAUACGGGCAAACUAGAGUACUGCAGGGGAGACUGGAAUUCCUGGUGUAGCGGUGGAAUGCGCAGAUAUCAGGAGGAACACCAAUGGCGAAGGCAGCUCGCUGGGACGGUACUGACGCUGAGACGCGAAAGCGUGGGGAGCAAACAGG